CAGCAGCCGCGGGAAUGCGAAGGGUGCAAGCGUUAAUCGGAAUUACUGGGCGUAAAGCGUGCGCAGGCGGUUUGUUAAGACAGAUGUGAAAUCCCCGGGCUCAACCUGGGAACUGCAUUUGUGACUGGCAAGCUAGAGUGUGGCAGAGGGGGGUGGAAUUCCGCGUGUAGCAGUGAAAUGCGUAGAUAUGCGGAGGAACACCGAUGGCGAAGGCAGCCCCCUGGGCCAACACUGACGCUCAUGCACGAAAGCGUGGGGAGCAAACAGGAUUAGAUACCCGCGUAGUCCCUGUCUCUUAUAA
RNAcentral lists this ribosomal RNA (301 nucleotides) under uncultured bacterium. Its description in RNAcentral is "partial 16S ribosomal RNA". It matches the Rfam family "Bacterial small subunit ribosomal RNA", at positions 509 to 809 of the family's 1533-position model. The record is from RNAcentral.